GACGAACGCUGGCGGCGUGCUUAACACAUGCAAGUCGAACGGAAAGGCCCUGCUUUUGUGGGGUGCUCGCGUGGCGAACGGGUGAGUAACACGUGAGUAACCUGCCCUUGACUUUGUGAUAACUUCAGGAAACUGGGGCUAAUACCGGAUAGGAGCUCCUGCUGCAUGGUGGGGGUUGGAAAGUUUCGGCGGUUGGGGAUGGACUCGCGGCUUAUCAGCUUGUUGGUGGGGUAGUGGCUUACCAAGGCUUUGACGGGUAGCCGGCCUGAGAGGUUGGCCGGCGACAUUGGGACUGAGAUACGGAGCAGUCUCGUACGGGAGGCAGCAGUGGGGAAUAUUGCACAAUGGGCGGAAGCCUGAUGCAGCAACGCCGCGUGCGGGAUGACGGCCUUCGGGUUGUAAACCGCUUUCGCCUGUGACGAAGCGUGAGUGACGGUAAUGGGUAAAGAAGCACCGGCUAACUACGUG
Molecule: ribosomal RNA, 468 nt
Filed under: uncultured bacterium
Lineage: Bacteria
Description: partial 16S ribosomal RNA
Rfam family: Bacterial small subunit ribosomal RNA
Source: RNAcentral